GAUGAACGCUGGCGGCGUGCUUAACACAUGCAAGUCGAGCGGAAAGACGAGGCUUUUGCUGGGCGCACGAGAGGCGAAGGGGGGAGUAACACGUGAGUAUACCGCCCCUGACUGAGGGAUAUCUUUUGGAAACUGGGGCGCAUACCGGGUAGGAGCUACUGCUGCAUGGUGGUGGUUGGAGAGUUACGGCGGUGGGGGAUCGACUCGCGGCUUAUGAGCUGGAUGGUGGAGUAGUGGCAUACGAGGGUUUCGACGGGUAGCCCGCCUGGGAGGGUGAACGGCCACAUUGGGACUGCGAUACGGCCCAGUCUCCUACGGGAGGCAGCAGUGGAGAAUAUUGCACAAUGGGCGGAAGCCUGAUACGACAACGCCGCGUGCGGGAUGACCGCCUUCGGGUUGUAAACCGCUUUCGCCUGUGACGAAGCGUGAUUGACGGUAAUGGGUAAAGAAGCACCGGCUAACUACGUG
This 468-nucleotide ribosomal RNA is filed under the name uncultured bacterium. RNAcentral describes it as "partial 16S ribosomal RNA". It matches the Rfam family "Bacterial small subunit ribosomal RNA", at positions 28 to 507 of the family's 1533-position model. The record is from RNAcentral.